This is a long non-coding RNA of Onychostruthus taczanowskii (white-rumped snowfinch), 2149 nucleotides long. RefSeq lists it as uncharacterized. The transcript has 2 exons. NCBI's taxonomy places the organism in Eukaryota, Metazoa, Chordata, Aves, Passeriformes, Passeridae. The record is from RefSeq and is a predicted model, not a curated record.
CGGCGCGGGUCCGGCGGAGCGAGCCCGCACCGCCCCGGUGCGCCGGGCCGCGCCGACCCUCCCGGGACGCGGCCGCAACACGUGGAGCCAACUUUUGAGGGACGCGUGUCUGCGCCGGACGGGAGCCCCGCCGCCCGGGACCGCAACGCUGCACGGAGCAAGCUCGUCUCUCUCCGGUUUGAUGGCUUUGGGUGUUGGAUUUUGGCUUUUUUUUUUUUUUUUUUUUUUUUUUUUUUUCUUUCUGCUUUUGGGUGGUUUUGGUAUUUUUCCCCUCUUUCCCCUACUUCUCUGGUGCUCGUGUGUUGGGACACUUCAAUCUCGCUGGGGCAAACGCCGCGUUUGAAAAGCCGAGAGAAAUGUUGCAACGUCCCUUGUGGCAACGCAUUUUAUUUAUUUAUUUUUAUUUUUUGCCUUUUGCAAGGGCAAAGAGGAAGGGUAGGAAAAAACCCACCGUGAUCAAUACCGGUUUAAAUACCCAUCUGCGAGUCCCUCGGCUGCGGGAGGCAGGAGAGGGGAGCGCAGCCGCCCGCCCGCAGCCGCUGCUCCCCGCUCGGCUGUAGCUCAGCCCGAGCCCUUCCCGUGCGGAUUCCCGAGGACCUGCGGCUCUGGGCGGGCAGGCGGCGGCGGGGGCCCACGAGCCCCUUUCCCGUGCCCCCUCCCCACUCAGAGCAGGUAACGGAGGGGCUCGGGAUUUUCUGUCCGUUUGGUGUUUUCGCUCCCGCCUCUCCGCGCACGAAGUUCCCGCAGGAGCGGGAGCGGGAUCAGCGGUGCCGAGUCACGAUGGGCGUCGGGGCCCGGCCCGAGGUGCGGGACCGGCUCCGGGAGCCGGGACCGAGACAGCUCUCAAGUUCGGGGAGGGGGCGGCGCGGAUCGCCGCCUCCCUCGGCCGGGGGAAUGAUCCCGCUCCGGCGGGGUCCCCGAUGGCCCCGGGGCGGGGGCUCUGCGCUGGCCGGGGUUUCGUUAAAGAUAGCGGUGAGUAGUGGUCGCCUGCGCCUGAUGGGCGAGCUGAGGGCUGGGUCUUUGCGGGCGAGAUGAGAGGUUCGUGUCUUCAACUGGCCUACAAAGUCCCAGUUCUCGGCUCCCGGGACCUGCCGGGCGCGCAGCGGGCGAAGACGGAGCGCGGCGGCGCCGCUGGCGCUGCCCGGGGCCGCUCGGGCGGGACGCGGGGCCCGGCCCGGGCGGGUCGGCUCCGGGCACGGCGGGCGGUGCUCGGGCGGCCCUCGGGGACCGCGGCUGGCCCGGCGCUGGGGCCGGCGGGUGCCGGGCUCGCCGCGGGGAGAGGACGGAGCUGGUUCUCCGCGAACCGAGCAUUUCAACUGCUUUUCUUAAAGCUGAAUUCUUUAUAAAGGAGGAGUGACUAGAAACCCUGAGCUGAGUCCCAGGUCUGGCUUAACUUUGUAAGGCACAUUGACACACUGAGGCUGCUCCACUUAAGGUAUGGUAUGAACCAGGAGCUGAUCCCGUGGCUGUGGAAUGAGUGUUCACAUGGAGUCAUCCUGCUGUAGCUAUUGCAGCUGCUGUGUAAGCAAGUCCUAAAGGGCAAUCCUUGUCCCAGUGACAGAUAAGACAGACAAUGGGCACAAGGAAGGCACCGCUAUCAAUGAAGGAUGGAUUCUGUUCAACCCGCAGGGAACAAAGAAACCUGGGCUGCUCAAGGCCCCACAGAACUAGCCAGGAGGGUCCUUGUGCCAGCUGAAUCCAGGAAUGUGACACUUUUGGAACUGUUUGUGUCAGGACUUUCUGCUUUGACACCAGUGAUUUCUGAGACUGCCUCAUCAUAGGAAACCCCAGAUCUGCUACUCCUUUCCACAAGGAUUCUGUAUCCAGCAACUCUUCUGUCUUCUUUGGAUACUGAAACGAGAUGAAAGGGCUUGAAUGUUUCCUUGGCAAGAUGGGUGGAUGGAAUUAGUUUAAUCUGUUCUGAUUCUGACACCUACAAGUCAAGUGACCCAAUCAUCUCUUCUGCUAACAGGCUGCAAAGCAACACUCUACUACUAUGGAAUAUUUUUUGUGAUGAAAACAGGAGGAUCGGGAAUGGGGGUUUGUAACUUUUUUGGAUGAGUUUCUGUUACAAUUUUUAUCUUUAGUAUCAACACUUUAAAUCAGGAUAUUUAUAUGGUAAAAUAAAUACAUUUUUGCUCUGAAAUAC